Molecule: ribosomal RNA, 355 nt
Filed under: Ircinia oros
Lineage: Eukaryota; Metazoa; Porifera; Demospongiae; Dictyoceratida; Irciniidae
Description: eukaryotic LSU rRNA
Rfam family: Eukaryotic large subunit ribosomal RNA
Source: RNAcentral
CCUCGGAUCAGGCCAGGCUACCCGCUGAAUUUAAGCAUAUUAGUAAGCGGAGGAAAGGAAACUAACAAGGAUUCCCCCAGUAACGGCGAGCGAAGCGGGAAUAGCUCAAAUUUGAAAUCUCCGGUGCUUGCACCGGCGAAUUGUAGUCUGUAGGGCCAGUUUCGCCCGAGACGGUGUCCCCAAAGUCGUCCUGGAAAGGCGGGCCGGAGAGGGUGAGAGCCCCGUGCGUGGGGGCACCGUCGGAGGUAAGAUCUGUGCCCGAAGAGUCGGGUUGUUUGGGAUUGCAGCCCAAAAUGGGUGGUAAACUCCAUCUAAAGCUAAAUACUGGCACGAGACCGAUAGCGAACAAGUACCG